Molecule: transfer RNA, 76 nt
Filed under: Pseudomonadales bacterium
Lineage: Bacteria; Pseudomonadati; Pseudomonadota; Gammaproteobacteria; Pseudomonadales
Description: tRNA-Ala
Rfam family: tRNA
About the family: Transfer RNA (tRNA) molecules are approximately 80 nucleotides in length. Their secondary structure includes four short double-helical elements and three loops (D, anti-codon, and T loops).
Source: RNAcentral
GGGGCUGUAGCUCAGCUGGGAGAGCGUAGCGUUCGCAAUGCUAAGGUCAGGGGUUCGAUCCCCCUCAGCUCCACCA